GACGAACGCUGGCGGCGUGCUUAACACAUGCAAGUCGAACGAGGAUAUUACUGGAAGGGCUUCGGUCCGGAAGGAGAUAUUCGAGUGGCGGACGGGUGAGUAACGCGUGAGCAAUCUGUCCCAGACAGGGGGAUAACACUUGGAAACAGGUGCUAAUACCGCAUAAGACCACGGUAUCGCAUGGUACUGAGGUAAAAGGAGCAAUCCGGUCUGGGGUGGGCUCGCGUCCGAUUAGAUAGUUGGUGAGGUAACGGCCCACCAAGUCGACGAUCGGUAGCCGACCUGAGAGGGUGAUCGGCCACAUUGGAGCUGAGAGACGGUCCAAACUCCUACGGGAGGCAGCAGUGGGGAAUAUUGGGCAAUGGGCGAAAGCCUGACCCAGCAACGCCGCGUGAGUGAAGAAGGCCUUCGGGUUGUAAAGCUCUGUUAUGUGGGACGAAGGAGUGACGGUACCACAUAUGAAGCCCCGGCUACUACGUGCCAGCAGCCGCGUAUACGUAGGGGCGAGCGUUGUCGGAUGCUGGGCGUAAAGGCGUGUAGCGCCGAAUAAAUAUGGAGUGAAAUCUGCUUUCAAGUGGAAUGCUGACCGGUGGCUGGGGGCCAAAAGAAUGGGAUUCCCUCUCCGCAACCUCAAUGUGGGAACAUUGAAGACAUUUGGUUUUACUUACGAACGGGGGAGGAAUCUGUCCGCCGUGAUC
Molecule: ribosomal RNA, 698 nt
Filed under: uncultured bacterium
Lineage: Bacteria
Description: bacterial SSU rRNA
Rfam family: Bacterial small subunit ribosomal RNA (bases 1-515)
Source: RNAcentral